GAGGGACUUAGAAGUUCUUCUAUUUCGUCCAAAAAACAGCAAUGCCCGGACACGGAUGUCCGGGCAAAACGCAAUCGAACCCGGAUGGUUCGUUGCGUUGGUUGCGUACCUUAUCAACGAUCAACAUCGAAAUAGUUAGAGCUUCUUAGUUCCG
RNAcentral lists this non-coding RNA (154 nucleotides) under human gut metagenome. The record is from RNAcentral.